This 22-nucleotide microRNA is filed under the name Caenorhabditis elegans. RNAcentral describes it as "cel-miR-8208-5p". Lineage: Eukaryota; Metazoa; Nematoda; Chromadorea; Rhabditida; Rhabditidae. The record is from miRBase by way of RNAcentral.
UCCGCCCACAGUUGAACCAAUU